AUGUCACUAAGGGCCUUUUCUUCUUAUUUGUGUGACAGUUAUAUAGAUGGUCCCCCUGAGUGUAUGGAAACAAAAUCAAUGGCAAACUUCAAUCCACACAAUCACUUCUUAUGUGAGACACAGCGUUGGCUAUUACCUCACAGAACUGAUCCAAAGCUCAUUGAAUUACAAAGAAAAAAUCCCAUCCAUGUCACUGGAGUUUGCAUCAAACCUGAACUGUCAACAGACGACUACUAAGUUACAGGCAUCAGUGUUUUAGACUCUGUCCAGCUGUGUAAGAGUCUGGGAGCGUGUUUUCUGCAGACAGAGUAUGAGGAUGGAUGGCUAGCAGAAAUGAAAGCUCUUUCAUCCUCUCCAUAAAGGGAGUAGUAUCUCCCUCCUCCAAAUUUUAUGAAUUUGAUCUGAAAAAAGGAGUCAUAAACAUGCUGUUAAAAGACUGCUGUUUUAAAAGGCUGUUUCCCCAGAGACAGUCUGUGAAGCAUCUUGAUGUGAAUUCAUAAUGUCUGAGCAGUCUCAGCUGAAUUAAAGACUGAAAACAGG
RNAcentral lists this long non-coding RNA (540 nucleotides) under Numida meleagris (helmeted guineafowl). RNAcentral's name for it is "lncRNA (ENSNMEG00000021044.1)". Lineage: Eukaryota; Metazoa; Chordata; Aves; Galliformes; Numididae. The record is from RNAcentral.